Molecule: ribosomal RNA, 535 nt
Filed under: uncultured Labrys sp.
Lineage: Bacteria; Pseudomonadati; Pseudomonadota; Alphaproteobacteria; Hyphomicrobiales; Xanthobacteraceae
Description: bacterial SSU rRNA
Rfam family: Bacterial small subunit ribosomal RNA
Source: RNAcentral
CGCCCCGCAGGGGAGUGGCAGACGGGUGAGUAACGCGUGGGGAUGUGCCCAGAGGUUUGGAAUAACUCAGGGAAACUUGAGCUAAUACCGGAUACGCCCUUAGGGGGAAAGAUUUAUCGCCUUUGGAUCAACCCGCGUCAGAUUAGCUAGUUGGUAGGGUAACGGCCUACCAAGGCGACGAUCUGCAGCUGGUCUGAGAGGAUGAUCAGCCACACUGGGACUGAGACACGGCCCAGACUCCUACGGGAGGCAGCAGUGGGGAAUAUUGGACAAUGGGCGCAAGCCUGAUCCAGCCAUGCCGCGUGAGUGAUGACGGCCUUAGGGUUGUAAAGCUCUUUUAACAGGGACGAUAAUGACGGUACCUGUAGAAUAAGCCCCGGCUAACUUCGUGCCAGCAGCCGCGGUAAUACGAAGGGGGCUAGCGUUGUUCGGAAUCACUGGGCGUAAAGCGCACGUAGGCGGAUUGUUAAGUCGGGGGUGAAAUCCUGAGGCUCAACCUCAGAACUGCCUUCGAUACUGGCGAUCUUGAGUUCGG